This is a long non-coding RNA of Oryza brachyantha (malo sina), 398 nucleotides long. RefSeq lists it as uncharacterized. The transcript has 3 exons. Lineage: Eukaryota; Viridiplantae; Streptophyta; Magnoliopsida; Poales; Poaceae. The record is from RefSeq and is a predicted model, not a curated record.
CUCGCGAUAAUUACCAGAUUGCCCCCCUCCUCGGCGUCGGCGGCGACGAUUCCCCUUCCCCUCAACCCGGCGGCGCCACCGCCCGCCAGACGCCAUACCGUCGAUUGUCUCCUCCGCUGCGGAAGAACGCCGCGCCGGAGUCCUCUCUCUCUCUCUCUCUCUCUCCCUUGUCGUCUCCCCUGUACUGGAUCGGCGGGGAACGGAGAUCCAUCUGGGCUGGUUCCUUCGGUUCCGGUACUUGGAGAAUUUGAAAACCAGGAAUGGCUAGAAAUGACUGAGGUUCUGGAGGCUCACUCACUAUAUAACAGGCACCAAAUAGUCCUGAAAGAAAAAAUAUUCUUUGCCUAGUGGUGCCGCCCUGCUGGAACCCUGAGACCACUCUUUUCCCAGAUGCAGUA